UACGUAGGGUGCAAGCGUUGUCCGGAAUUAUUGGGCGUAAAGAGCUCGUAGGCGGUUUGUCGCGUCUGCUGUGAAAACCGGAGGCUCAACCUCCGGCCUGCAGUGGGUACGGGCAGACUAGAGUGCGGUAGGGGAGAUUGGAAUUCCUGGUGUAGCGGUGGAAUGCGCAGAUAUCAGGAGGAACACCGAUGGCGAAGGCAGAUCUCUGGGCCGUAACUGACGCUGAGGAGCGAAAGUGUGGGGAGCGAACAGG
Molecule: ribosomal RNA, 253 nt
Filed under: uncultured bacterium
Lineage: Bacteria
Description: partial 16S ribosomal RNA
Rfam family: Bacterial small subunit ribosomal RNA
Source: RNAcentral